CCUUAGUAACGGCCGGAAGCGGCAACAGAAAUUUGAAAUCUGGCCUCCGGGGUCCGAGUUGUAAUUUGUAGAGAGUGUGGGGGAGACCGCGGUCUAAGUCUAUUGGAACAUGGCGUCAUAGAGGGUGAGAAUCCCGUAUGUGACCGUGGCUCGAACCCAUGUGAAGCCUCUUCGACGAGUCGAGUUGUUUGGGAAUGCAGCUCAUAAUGGGUGGUAAAUUUCAUCUAAAGCUAAAUACUGGCUGGAGACCGAUUGCGCACAAGUUGAGUGAUCGAAAGAUGAAAAGCACUUUGGAAAGAGAGUUAAACAGUACGUGAAAUUGUUGAAAGGGAAGCGCUUGCAACCAGACCUGCCCGUAGAC
This 361-nucleotide ribosomal RNA is filed under the name Parmotrema sp. 1 KB-2019. RNAcentral describes it as "partial 28S ribosomal RNA". It matches the Rfam family "Eukaryotic large subunit ribosomal RNA", at positions 78 to 446 of the family's 3401-position model. Lineage: Eukaryota; Fungi; Ascomycota; Lecanoromycetes; Lecanorales; Parmeliaceae. The record is from RNAcentral.